GGGGAUAUAGCUCAGUGGUAGAGUGCUUGCCUACGUCCCCAAGGCCCUGGGUUCAAUCCCCAGCACCACCA
This 71-nucleotide transfer RNA is filed under the name Ictidomys tridecemlineatus (thirteen-lined ground squirrel). Its description in RNAcentral is "Spermophilus tridecemlineatus (thirteen-lined ground squirrel) tRNA". It matches the Rfam family "tRNA". Rfam says of the family: Transfer RNA (tRNA) molecules are approximately 80 nucleotides in length. Their secondary structure includes four short double-helical elements and three loops (D, anti-codon, and T loops). Further hydrogen bonds mediate the characteristic L-shaped molecular structure. tRNAs have two regions of fundamental functional importance: the anti-codon, which is responsible for specific mRNA codon recognition, and the 3' end, to which the tRNAs corresponding amino acid is attached (by aminoacyl-tRNA synthetases). tRNAs cope with the degeneracy of the genetic code in two manners: having more than one tRNA (with a specific anti-codon) for a particular amino acid; and 'wobble' base-pairing, i.e. permitting non-standard base-pairing at the 3rd anti-codon position. Lineage: Eukaryota; Metazoa; Chordata; Mammalia; Rodentia; Sciuridae. The record is from Rfam by way of RNAcentral.